UACGGAGAGGGCUAGCGUUAUUCGGAAUUAUUGGGCGUAAAGAGCACGUAGGCUGAUUAGUAAGUUAAAAGUGAAAUCCCAGAGCUCAACUUUGGAAUUGCUUUUAAAACUGCUAGUCUAGAGAUUGAAAGAGGAUAGGAGAAUUCCUAGUGUAGAGGUGAAAUUCGUAAAUAUUAGGAGGAACACCAGUGGCGAAGGCGCCUAUCUGGUUCAAAUCUGACGCUGAGGUGCGAAGGCGUGGGGAGCAAACAGG
This 253-nucleotide ribosomal RNA is filed under the name uncultured bacterium. RNAcentral's name for it is "partial 16S ribosomal RNA". It matches the Rfam family "Bacterial small subunit ribosomal RNA", at positions 524 to 776 of the family's 1533-position model. The record is from RNAcentral.